RNAcentral lists this transfer RNA (72 nucleotides) under Bos taurus (domestic cattle). It matches the Rfam family "tRNA". From Rfam's summary of the family: Transfer RNA (tRNA) molecules are approximately 80 nucleotides in length. Their secondary structure includes four short double-helical elements and three loops (D, anti-codon, and T loops). Lineage: Eukaryota; Metazoa; Chordata; Mammalia; Artiodactyla; Bovidae. RNAcentral also lists the same sequence under 2 other names. The record is from Rfam by way of RNAcentral.
UCCUUUGUAGCUCAGUUGCUAAAGAACUUGCCUACAAUGCAGGAGACCCAGGUUUGAUUCCUGGUUUGGGAA